AGCCCUAAGUGGGUGGUAAACUCCAUCUAAGGCUAAAUAUGACCACGAGACCGAUAGCGAACAAGUACCGUGAGGGAAAGUUGAAAAGCACUUUGAAGAGAGAGUUCAAGAGUACGUGAAACCGUUUAGGGGUAAACCUGAGAAACCCGAAAGGUCGAAGGGAGAAAUUCAUUCGCGUUUCGCCGCAGGCGUGAGACGGUCGAGUGACGGAGAGCGUUCGCGCCUCUCCGCGCCUUCCGUUUUUCGAUCCGGCGGCGAACGCGUGCACUUUUCUCCUGGUAGGACGUCGCGAUCCGUUGGGCGUCGGUCUACGGCUCGCGGUGGAGCCCGGACGUGCGGUUCGCCGUCACGUUCGGACCCGCGUGUCCCGGCCGACUCGCUCGACGGUAUACGAAAGGUUAAAGGCCGCUCUCGGAGCGUUCGGCUCGUUGCAAGCGCGUCAGUUGUGUUGGCGAUCGGACCUGGUGCCGAUUCCGACCUCUGGCGACUGUUGGCCGCGAAGUUCUCGAACAGACCUUAGACCGAUCUGCGACGCUAUAGCUUUGGGUACUUUCAG
RNAcentral lists this ribosomal RNA (556 nucleotides) under Stromboscerini sp. CNCCOLVG00005975. Its description in RNAcentral is "eukaryotic LSU rRNA". It matches the Rfam family "Eukaryotic large subunit ribosomal RNA", at positions 284 to 645 of the family's 3401-position model. Lineage: Eukaryota; Metazoa; Arthropoda; Insecta; Coleoptera; Curculionidae. The record is from RNAcentral.